UGGCUGUGAGGAUAACACUUAAAGUGAAUGGCAGUGAUCAUUUCAUACGCUAUUCUGAGCCAACA
Molecule: small nucleolar RNA, 65 nt
Filed under: Patagioenas fasciata monilis
Lineage: Eukaryota; Metazoa; Chordata; Aves; Columbiformes; Columbidae
Description: Small nucleolar RNA U54
Rfam family: Small nucleolar RNA U54
Source: Rfam by way of RNAcentral